Molecule: transfer RNA, 88 nt
Filed under: Pleuronectes platessa (European plaice)
Lineage: Eukaryota; Metazoa; Chordata; Actinopteri; Pleuronectiformes; Pleuronectidae
Rfam family: tRNA
About the family: Transfer RNA (tRNA) molecules are approximately 80 nucleotides in length. Their secondary structure includes four short double-helical elements and three loops (D, anti-codon, and T loops). Further hydrogen bonds mediate the characteristic L-shaped molecular structure. tRNAs have two regions of fundamental functional importance: the anti-codon, which is responsible for specific mRNA codon recognition, and the 3' end, to which the tRNAs corresponding amino acid is attached (by aminoacyl-tRNA synthetases). tRNAs cope with the degeneracy of the genetic code in two manners: having more than one tRNA (with a specific anti-codon) for a particular amino acid; and 'wobble' base-pairing, i.e. permitting non-standard base-pairing at the 3rd anti-codon position.
Source: Rfam by way of RNAcentral
CCUUCGAUAGCUCAGUUGGUAGAGCGGAGGACUGUAGGCUACAUAUGUUGAUAUCCUUAGGUCGCUGGUUCAACUCCCGCUCGAAGGA